Molecule: long non-coding RNA, 224 nt
Filed under: Gossypium raimondii (Peruvian cotton)
Lineage: Eukaryota; Viridiplantae; Streptophyta; Magnoliopsida; Malvales; Malvaceae
Description: long non-coding RNA (GRAI_LNC000346)
Source: RNAcentral
UUUUUUUGAUAAUAUAGAAGGAUGAAAUUCAUAAUUAGAAAAAAACCUCCUAAACCCUAAACCUAAACCGUAAACACUAAACUCUUAACACUAAAUCAUAAAUCCUAAACCCUAAACCCUAAACCUUAAACCUCAAACCAUAAAUAUACACCCUAAACCUUAAAUAUAUAUAUUACAAGGGACAAAAGUAAUUAAAAAAGAAUAUUAAAUACUAAACCCUAAAC